AUGGCGGUGGGCGCGAAGCUGCACCUCUCGCCGGCCGCCCGGCGCCCGACGCUGCCCCAGCUCCUGGCCGUCGCGCUGCUCUGCUCCGCGUCCUACCUCGCCGGCGUCUGGCACCACGGCGGCUUCACCGCUGCCCCCGCGGCCGGCGGCGGUGGCGCCUCCCCCUCCCCCGUCUCCAUCGCCACCGCCGCCUCCGUCGCCUGCGUCUCUCCCACCACGGCCGGCGUCGCCCGCGUCGGCGGCGCCCCCCUCGACUUCGAGGCGCACCACGCCGCGGACGACACGGAGGCGGUGAACGCCGCGCCGGCGCGGCGCGCGUACGAGGCGUGCCUGGCCAAGUACUCCGAGUACACCCCGUGCGAGGACGUGGAGCGGUCGCUGCGGUUCCCGCGCGACCGGCUCGUGUACCGGGAGCGCCACUGCCCGGCGGAGGGCGAGCGGCUGCGGUGCCUCGUCCCGGCGCCCAAGGGGUACCGCACCCCGUUCCCGUGGCCCACCAGCCGCGACGUCGCGUGGUUCGCCAACGUGCCGCACAAGGAGCUCACCGUGGAGAAGGCGGUGCAGAACUGGAUCCACGUCGACGGCGACAAGUUCCGCUUCCCGGGCGGCGGCACCAUGUUCCCCCACGGCGCCGGCGCCUACAUCGACGACAUCGGCAAGCUCAUCCCCCUCCACGACGGAUCCAUCCGCACCGCGCUCGACACCGGCUGCGGGGUGGCGAGCUGGGGAGCGUACCUGUUGUCACGCAACAUCCUGGCCAUGUCGUUCGCUCCGCGGGACUCGCACGAGGCGCAGGUACAGUUCGCGCUGGAACGCGGGGUGCCGGCGAUGAUCGGCGUCCUCGCCUCCAACAGGCUCACCUAUCCUGCACGCGCCUUCGACAUGGCGCACUGCUCCCGCUGCCUCAUCCCCUGGCAGCUCUACGAUGGGCUGUACUUGAUCGAGGUGGAUCGCAUCCUUCGUCCUGGGGGCUACUGGAUCCUGUCCGGGCCACCGAUCAACUGGAAGAAGCACUCGAAGGGGUGGCAGAGGACCAGGGAGGAUCUGAACGCAGAGCAGCAAGCCAUCGAGUCAGUCGCCAAGAGCCUCUGCUGGAAGAAGAUCAAGGAGGUUGGCGACAUUGCGAUCUGGCAAAAACCUACCAACCACAUCCACUGCAAGGCCUCCCGCAGAGUCAUCAAGUCCCCGCCGUUCUGCUCCAAUAAAAACCCAGACGCUGCCUGGUACGACAAGAUGGAGGCUUGUAUAACUCCUCUCCCGGAGGCUAGUGACAUCAAGGAGGUCGCCGGCGGUGAGCUGAAGAAGUGGCCGCAGAGGCUCACUGCCGUGCCACCCAGAAUUGCCAGUGGCAGUAUUGAGGGGGUCACUGCCGAAAUGUUUAACGAAGAUACCAAGUUAUGGAAGAAGAGAGUUGGGCACUACAAGUCCGUGAUAAGCCAGUUUGGGCAGAAGGACCGGUACCGCAACUUGCUCGAUAUGAAUGCGCGCUUUGGCGGCUUCACUGCGGCAUUGGCGGGUGACCCUAUGUGGGUCAUGAACAUGGUCCCAACCGUUGGAAAUUCAACGACCCUUGGGGUGAUAUACGAGCGUGGCCUCAUUGGAAACUACCAAGACUGGUGCGAGGGCAUGUCCACCUAUCCCCGGACCUACGACCUCAUUCAUGCUGAUUCAGUUUUCAGUCUGUACAAGGACAGGUGCGAGAUGGACACCAUCCUGCUGGAAAUGGACAGAAUCCUGAGGCCGGAGGGCACGGUGAUCAUCAGGGACGACGUGGACCUGCUAGUGAAGAUAAAGAGCGUCGCGGACGGGAUGAGAUGGAAUAGCCAGAUCGUGGACCACGAAGACGGUCCGCUCGUCCGGGAGAAGCUCCUCCUUGUUGUGAAGACAUACUGGACACUCGGGGACGAGAAACAAUAG
This 1917-nucleotide ribosomal RNA is filed under the name Triticum aestivum (bread wheat). RNAcentral's name for it is "partial small subunit ribosomal RNA". Lineage: Eukaryota; Viridiplantae; Streptophyta; Magnoliopsida; Poales; Poaceae. The record is from RNAcentral.